CAGCCAUGCCGCGUGCAGGAUGACGGCCCUACGGGUUGUAAACUGCUUUUAUAUGGRAAWAAACCCCCGAACGUGNNCGGGGCUGAMGGUACCAUACGAAUAAGGAUCGGCUAACUCCGUGCCAGCAGCCGCGGUAAUACGGAGGAUCCRAGCGUUAUCCGGAUUCAUUGGGUUUAAAGGGUCCGCAGGCGGGGCGCUAAGUCARUGGUGAAAGCCUACCGCUCAACGGUAGGACUGCCAUUGAUACUGGUGCUCUUGAGUGUAGUUGAAGUGGGCGGAAUGAGUCAUGUAGCGGUGAAAUGCAUAGAUAUGACUCAGAACACCGAUUGCGAAGGCAGCUCACUAAGCUAACACUGACGCUCAGGGACGAAAGCGUGGGUAGCAAACAGGAUUAGAUACCCUGGUAGUCCACGCUGUAAACUAUGAUCACUCGCUGUUGGCGAUAUACUGUCAGCGGCCAAGCGAAAGCAUUAAGUGAUCCACCUGGGGAGUACGCUCGCAAGAGUGAAACUCAAAUGAAUUGACGGG
Molecule: ribosomal RNA, 528 nt
Filed under: uncultured Bacteroidota bacterium
Lineage: Bacteria; Pseudomonadati; Bacteroidota
Description: bacterial SSU rRNA
Rfam family: Bacterial small subunit ribosomal RNA
Source: RNAcentral